This 275-nucleotide ribosomal RNA is filed under the name uncultured bacterium. RNAcentral describes it as "partial 16S ribosomal RNA". It matches the Rfam family "Bacterial small subunit ribosomal RNA", at positions 399 to 691 of the family's 1533-position model. The record is from RNAcentral.
GCGUGAGUGAUGAAGGCCUUAGGGUUGUAAAGCUCUUUUACCCGGGAAGAUAAUGACUGUACCGGGAGAAUAAGCCCCGGCUAACUCCGUGCCAGCAGCCGCGGUAAUACGGAGGGGGCUAGCGUUGUUCGGAAUUACUGGGCGUAAAGCGCACGUAGGCGGCCGAUCAAGUCAGAGGUGAAAGCCCGGGGCUCAACCCCGGAAUUGCCUUUGAGACUGAACGGCUAGCAGGUGAGAGAGGUGAGUGGAAUUCCGAGUGUAGAGGUGAAAUUCGU